Long non-coding RNA from Manacus vitellinus (golden-collared manakin), 583 nucleotides. RefSeq lists it as uncharacterized. Lineage: Eukaryota; Metazoa; Chordata; Aves; Passeriformes; Pipridae. The transcript is spliced from 3 exons. The record is from RefSeq and is a predicted model, not a curated record.
UGCGCUUCGUGGAGGCCUGGAGGGCCCUGCCAGGGUUCGGGCUGGGGCACUUCGUGGUGAGGUUCCAGGGUGCCAGGCGUGAUGAGAUUUUGGCUGUGGGCCCCUCACAGCUGCUCCGGAUCGAUCCUGGCUCUGGCGCCGUCACCCGCAGCUGGAGGCACAGCGACCUGCGCCAGUGGGACAUCAACUGGGACAGCCAGCAGGUGCGGCUGUGGCUGACUGGGGACGUGACGCUGGGGCUGCGGGUGCUCUCGGCAGCCCCCCGGGUGCUGCACCAGUUCCUGGGGGGGUAUCUGGUACUAGGGGGGCAGCGGCCAGGGCAGCCCCCAGACCCUGAUGUGCUGAGGCGCCUGAUGGAAGGGGGGGAUGACCCCUAACGCCCCCAAGCCCCAUGCAAGAGUGGCCUCAUGCAAAUGCCCCCACCCCACUGUUGGCACCAGCCUCAACUCCCCCAGUCCCUGUUCCUCCCACAGCACUUGUGCACCCUCCCUCCCUCCUCCUGCUGUGCAAGGCACUUGUGCAAGGCUUGUGCAACACCGGUGUGAUGGAGCUGAAGUGCUUACUGUGCUCAACAGAAUGGUGG